Pimephales promelas (fathead minnow) is the source of this 116-nucleotide non-coding RNA. The record is from RefSeq and is a predicted model, not a curated record. Lineage: Eukaryota; Metazoa; Chordata; Actinopteri; Cypriniformes; Leuciscidae.
AGCCGACCACAUGUGAGUCCUUGGAGAGUGUUCACACAGGAUUGAUGGGCAAAUGAAGACUAGGAGGAUGAAGACGAAGAUGGAUCAGUCCAACAAAGAUUCCUGGAGAACUGACU